Molecule: ribosomal RNA, 484 nt
Filed under: uncultured bacterium
Lineage: Bacteria
Description: partial 16S ribosomal RNA
Rfam family: Bacterial small subunit ribosomal RNA
Source: RNAcentral
AUUGAACGCUGGCGGCAGGCCUAACACAUGCAAGUCGAGCGGAUGAAGGGAGCUUGCUCCUGGAUUCAGCGGCGGACGGGUGGGUAAUGCCUAGGAAUCUGCCUGGUAGUGGGGGAUAACGUCCGGAAACGGGCGCUAAUACCGCAUACGUCCUGAGGGAGAAAGUGGGGGAUCUUCGGACCUCACGCUAUCAGAUGAGCCUAGGUCGGAUUAGCUAGUUGGUGGGGUAAAGGCCUACCAAGGCGACGAUCCGUAACUGGUCUGAGAGGAUGAUCAGUCACACUGGAACUGAGACACGGUCCAGACUCCUACGGGAGGCAGCAGUGGGGAAUAUUGGACAAUGGGCGAAAGCCUGAUCCAGCCAUGCCGCGUGUGUGAAGAAGGCCUUCGGAUUGUAAAGCACUUUAAGUUGGGAGGAAGGGCAGUAAGUUAAUACCUUGCUGUUUUGACGUUACCAACAGAAUAAGCACCGGCUAACUUCGUG